GGGGGCGACUGGUUUCGACGCGAUAGUUCUGAGAGAGGAAGCAGGCCGUGGUCUCCUCGCCACGUUAAACAGGGGUACCGUCAAAUUGAAUUGACAAGAAUUCUUCUUUUGAGCCUCAGCUGGCUCUCGCUGCUUAAUUAAAUAGCGGCGCGUCAAUCUCGGGGUUUCCCCGACUCGAGGGCGACGUCAUUGUAGGGGAAUGCGCCUAAGCACGUAAUCGGUAUGGCUUGGGCUAAGACUGAACCGGUUAGGCCGCUGCGAGCGUGUUGCUGCGCGCAAGGCGGCCGAAGCUAAACCAGCAACUGAGCCUGGAGAUGCCGAUCAGGGAGCUGUCGUGGACCGGAGUUCGAUUCUCCGCGCCUCCACCA
RNAcentral lists this transfer-messenger RNA (368 nucleotides) under uncultured Collinsella sp. It matches the Rfam family "transfer-messenger RNA". Rfam says of the family: Bacterial tmRNA, also known as 10Sa RNA or SsrA, is named for its dual tRNA and mRNA-like properties. Its role is to liberate the mRNA from a stalled ribosome. The record is from RNAcentral. Lineage: Bacteria; Bacillati; Actinomycetota; Coriobacteriia; Coriobacteriales; Coriobacteriaceae.